RNAcentral lists this ribosomal RNA (440 nucleotides) under uncultured bacterium. RNAcentral describes it as "partial 16S ribosomal RNA". It matches the Rfam family "Bacterial small subunit ribosomal RNA", at positions 338 to 795 of the family's 1533-position model. The record is from RNAcentral.
CCUACGGGUGGCAGCAGUGGGGAAUAUUGCACAAUGGGGGAAACCCUGAUGCAGCGCCGCCGCGUGAGUGAAGAAGUAAUUCGUUCUGUAAAGCUCUAUCAUCCGGGAAGAAAAUGACGGUACCUGCGUCAGAAGCCCCGGCUAACUACUUGCCAGCAGCCGCGGUAAUACGUAGGGGGCAAGCGUUAUCCGGAUUUGCUGGGUGUAAAGGGAGCGUAGACGGCAGUGCAAGAAUGGAGUGAAAGGCGGGGGCUCAACCCCCGGACUGCUCUGGAUACUGUACGGCUGGAGUGCAGGAGAGGUAAGUGGAAGUACUAGUGUAGCGGUGAAAUGCGUAGAUAUUAGGAGGAACACCAGUGGCGAAGGCGGCUUACGGGACUGUAACUGACGUUGAGGCUCGAAAGCGUGGGGAGCAAACAGGAUUAGAUACCCGAGUAGUC